CUAGUUGGUAGGGUAGUGGCCUACCAAAGUGGUAACGGGUAACGGGGAAUCAGGGUUUGAUUCCGGAGAGGGAGCCUUAGAAACGGCUACCACGUCCAAGGAAGGCAGCAGGCGCGCAAAUUACCCACUCUAGAUACUGGGAGGUAGUGACGAGAAAUAAUGGGGGCACCCUAAAAGGGGGCCGUCUGUAAUGAACGAAACACAAAAGCGUCGGUGAGGACCCACUGGAGGGCAAGUCUGGUGCCAGCAGCCGCGGUAAUUCCAGCUCCAGUAGUGUAUAUCAACAUUGUUGCGCUUAAAACGCUCGUAGUUGGGUUAGAGUGUUUAAGCAGGCCCGGUGUCAUGGACAUGGGGUAGGUUGGAAAGGUUUUUGCCCACUUGUGAGCGUCAACCAUAUGAAAACACAUGAACUAUCGUGUAUUUGGGGGGUUUUGAUUAACAAAACAGGUAACACGGUAAAAUGUGCCUUGAAUAAAGCAUAAUGCUAAAAGUAAGCGACGAAAGCUGGAGUGUAAUAGCAUGGAACGAAUAGUGGCCAAGGGUGCGAUGGUGCCCGUCUCCUUGAAAAAGAGAGGUCUAAAUGACCUAGAGGAAAGUUUGCGGGCACUGGUACUUUGGGGCGAGAGGUGAAAUUCUUAGACCCCCAAAAGACGGACUACUGCGAAGGCAUUUGCCAAAGAUGUUUCCGCUAAUCAAGAACGAAGGUCAGAGGAUCGAAGACGAUCAGAUACCGUCCUAGUUUUGACAGAAAACUCUGCCGGCGUAGGUGGGCAGCGAUCACCCUUGAAGGGUAGAAUCACUGCGGACCUUGGGGGAAACCUGAGCUUUCGGGCUGCUGGGAGAAUAUCGCUGCAAGGCUGAAAUUUAAAGAAAUUGACGGAGAGGCACCACCAGGAGUGGAGCUUGCGGCUUAAUUUGACUCAACACGGGGAAACUCACCGGGUCCAGACAUUGGAAGGAUUGACAGAAUGGUGGAUCUUUCAUGAUUCAGUGAAUGGUGGUGCAUG
Molecule: ribosomal RNA, 1007 nt
Filed under: Ceratomyxa sp. 2 PBS-2017
Lineage: Eukaryota; Metazoa; Cnidaria; Myxozoa; Bivalvulida; Ceratomyxidae
Description: bacterial SSU rRNA
Rfam family: Eukaryotic small subunit ribosomal RNA
Source: RNAcentral